Molecule: ribosomal RNA, 497 nt
Filed under: uncultured bacterium
Lineage: Bacteria
Description: partial 16S ribosomal RNA
Rfam family: Bacterial small subunit ribosomal RNA
Source: RNAcentral
GAUGAACGCUGGCGGCGUGCCUAAUACAUGCAAGUCGAACGAACAGACGCUGCGCUUGCUCCUCUGACGUUAGCGGCGCGCGGGUGAGUCACACGUGUAUCACCUACCUAUAAGACUGGGAUCACUUCGGGACACCGGCGCUAAUACCGGAUAAUCUAUUGCAGCGCAUGGUUCAUUAGUGAGAUACGGUUUUUCUGUCUCUUAUCGCUGGAUCCGCGCCGCAUUAGCUAGUUGUUAAGGUCCAGGCUUACCACGGCAAGGUUGCGUAGCCGACAUGAGAGGGUGAGCGGCCACACUGGGACGGAGACACGGUCCAGUCGCCCACGGGAGCCAGCAGUAGUGAAUCGGCCGGAAUGGGCGAAAGCCUUACGGAGCAACGCCGCGGGAUUGAGGAAGAUCUUCGGAUCGGAAAACUCGGUUAUUAGGGAAUAACAAAUGUGUAAGUAACUAGGCACGUCUGUAAGGUACCUAAGCAGAGAGCCACGGCUAACUUCGGG